CUAAGUGUAGAAGUCGAGAUGC
Molecule: non-coding RNA, 22 nt
Filed under: Arabidopsis thaliana (thale cress)
Lineage: Eukaryota; Viridiplantae; Streptophyta; Magnoliopsida; Brassicales; Brassicaceae
Source: RNAcentral